AGAAUCAACGCUGGCGGCGUGCCUAACACAUGCAAGUCGCACGAGAAAGGGGAGCAAUCCCUGAGUAAAGUGGCGCACGGGUGAGUAACACGUGAAUCAUCUACCUCCGAGUGGGGAAUAACUGAGAGAAAUCUUAGCUAAUACCGCAUAACACUUACGAGUCAAAGCAGCAAUGCGCUUGGAGAGGAGUUCGCGGCAGAUUAGUUAGUUGGCGGGGUAAUGGCCCACCAAGACGAUGAUCUGUAUCCGGCCUGAGAGGGCGCACGGACACACUGGAACUGAAACACGGUCCAGACUCCUACGGGAGGCAGCAGUGGGAAUUUUGCGCAAUGGGGAAACCCUGACGCAGCAACGCCGCGUGGAGGAUGAAGCCCCUUGGGUGUAAACUCCUUUCGAUCGGGAAGAUAAUGACGGUACCGAUAUAAGAAGCCCGGCUAACUUCGCGCCAGCAGCCGC
Molecule: ribosomal RNA, 456 nt
Filed under: uncultured bacterium
Lineage: Bacteria
Description: SSU rRNA
Rfam family: Bacterial small subunit ribosomal RNA
Source: RNAcentral